GGGCCCACAUCCACUGUUUGUAAAUUGCUACAUUGUAGACUCAAGUUGAAAACGCAUGAUUUUGUAAACAGUGUAUGGUUCCCAGAGAGAUCUGCUUUGCCAUGGAUGAAAUCAGAACACCAAACUAGAUGAACUCUUGGUCUGAUCCAACAAGGAAUGAACAGCUGUAGCAGAAAUUCAAAGUCCAUGACCUCAGCUGUUGUUAUGCUGCCGUGUGUGUACAUUUUCUUCUUUAGAAAUGGCCAUAAAGAGAAUUUUACCGUAGCCUGUAGGGUGGUUGUUGUUGUUGCUGCUGCUGUUUCAGAAAUAUCCUGCUAAUAUGAUCUGAUAAGUUUUACAUGGAGGAAAAGGACUGAGAC
Molecule: long non-coding RNA, 359 nt
Organism: Elgaria multicarinata webbii
Lineage: Eukaryota; Metazoa; Chordata; Lepidosauria; Squamata; Anguidae
Exons: 3
Source: RefSeq, a predicted model, not a curated record